RNAcentral lists this ribosomal RNA (640 nucleotides) under Chroococcus sp. WUC1378. RNAcentral's name for it is "bacterial SSU rRNA". It matches the Rfam family "Bacterial small subunit ribosomal RNA", at positions 113 to 788 of the family's 1533-position model. Lineage: Bacteria; Bacillati; Cyanobacteriota; Cyanophyceae; Chroococcales; Chroococcaceae. The record is from RNAcentral.
ACGCGUGAGAAUCUGGCUUCAGGUCGGGGACAACCACUGGAAACGGUGGCUAAUACCGGAUGAGCCUUUUGGUAAAAGAUUGCAUUGCCUGAAGAAGAGCUCGCGUCUGAUUAGCUAGUUGGUGUGGUAAGGGCGCACCAAGGCGACGAUCAGUAGCUGGUCUGAGAGGAUGAUCAGCCACACUGGGACUGAGACACGGCCCAGACUCCUACGGGAGGCAGCAGUGGGGAAUUUUCCGCAAUGGGCGAAAGCCUGACGGAGCAAUACCGCGUGAGGGAGGAAGGCUCUUGGGUUGUAAACCUCUUUUCUCAGGGAAGAUAAUGACGGUACCUGAGGAAUCAGCAUCGGCUAACUCCGUGCCAGCAGCCGCGGUAAUACGGAGGAUGCAAGCGUUAUCCGGAAUGAUUGGGCGUAAAGAGUCCGUAGGUGGCAUUUCAAGUCUGCUGUUAAAGGUCGGGGCUCAACUCCGAAAGAGCGGUGGAAACUGAAGAGCUAGAGGUUGGUAGGGGCAGAGGGAAUUCCCAGUGUAGCGGUGAAAUGCGUAGAGAUUGGGAAGAACACCGGUGGCGAAAGCGCUCUGCUGGACCAAGACUGACACUGAGGGACGAAAGCUAGGGGAGCGAAUGGGAUUAGAUACCCC